AAGAGAGCUACCAGGAUUCCCCUAGUAACGGCGAGUGAAGCGGGAUGAGCUCAAAUUUAAAAUCUGGCUGGUUUACUAGUCCGAAUUGUAGUUUAAAGAAGCGUUUUCGGUGGCAGCCUGGGUAUAAAUCCUUUGGAACAGGGUAUCAUAGAGGGUGAGAAUCCCGUCUUUGACUCAGUGCAUGCUACUAUGUGAUACGUUUUCAAAGAGUCGAGUUGUUUGGGAAUGCAGCUCAAAAUGGGUGGUAAAUUUCAUCUAAAGCUAAAUAUUGGCGAGAGACCGAUAGCGAACAAGUACCGUGAGGGAAAGAUGAAAAGAACUUUGAAAAGAGAGUUAAACAGUGCGUGAAAUUGUUGAAAGGGAAACGCUUGACACCAGUCAUGCGAGCGGAAAAUCAGUCUUUUGCAGUGGGGAGUUGUGUGGGUUCGGACCGCAAGGCCGGCCUGCGCUGCAUCUCUGCUGUAAGUGAUGCACUUUUUCGUUUGCAGGCCAACAUCAGUUUCUUCUGCUGGACAAAACUCUUGAGAAGGUGGCAGCUUAGGCUGUGUUAUAGCUCUUGAGCGAUACAGUGGAGGGGACUGAGGUUUUCGCAGCGCGUGCUCUCGGGCAAGGCUGAUUGGGUGCUAUGGGAUCGUUCGGUGUACAAUGCAUGCAUUUUGCGCCGUGUCUUUUCUAUACUCGCUCAACUCGGCUCUUCCGCGCUUAGGAUGUUGGCUUAAUGGUUUUAAUCGACCCGUCUUGAAACACGGACCAAGGAGUCUAACAUAUAUGCAAGUGUUUGGGUGGCAAACCCAUGCGCGUAAUGAAAGUGAACGUAGGUGCGAUCCGCAAGGUGCAGCAUCGACCGAUCUUGAUAUUUUUGGAUAGAUUUGAGUAAGAGCAUAUAUGCUGGGACCCGAAAGAUGGUGAACUAUGCCUGAAUAGGGUGAAGCCAGAGGAAACUCUGGUGGAGGCUCGUAGCGAUUCUGACGUGCAAAUCGAUCGUCAAAUUUGGGUAUAGGGGGCGAAAAGACUAUCGACCUCUGACGCC
Molecule: ribosomal RNA, 1030 nt
Filed under: Mortierella alpina
Lineage: Eukaryota; Fungi; Mortierellomycota; Mortierellomycetes; Mortierellales; Mortierellaceae
Description: partial 28S ribosomal RNA
Rfam family: Eukaryotic large subunit ribosomal RNA
Source: RNAcentral